RNAcentral lists this ribosomal RNA (933 nucleotides) under Vreelandella gomseomensis. RNAcentral's name for it is "bacterial SSU rRNA". It matches the Rfam family "Bacterial small subunit ribosomal RNA", at positions 67 to 997 of the family's 1533-position model. The record is from RNAcentral. Lineage: Bacteria; Pseudomonadati; Pseudomonadota; Gammaproteobacteria; Oceanospirillales; Halomonadaceae.
CGGUAACAGGGGUAGCUUGCUACCCGCUGACGAGCGGCGGACGGGUGAGUAAUGCAUAGGAAUUUACCCGAUAGUGGGGGAUAACCUGGGGAAACCCAGGCUAAUACCGCAUACGUCCUACGGGAGAAAGGGGGCUUCGGCUCCCGCUAUCGGAUGAGCCUAUGCCGGAUUAGCUGGUUGGUGAGGUAAUGGCUCACCAAGGCGACGAUCCGUAGCUGGUCUGAGAGGAUGAUCAGCCACAUCGGGACUGAGACACGGCCCGAACUCCUACGGGAGGCAGCAGUGGGGAAUAUUGGACAAUGGGCGCAAGCCUGAUCCAGCCAUGCCGCGUGUGUGAAGAAGGCCCUCGGGUUGUAAAGCACUUUCAGCGAGGAAGAACGCCUGGCGGUUAAUACCCGCCAGGAAAGACAUCACUCGCAGAAGAAGCACCGGCUAACUCCGUGCCAGCAGCCGCGGUAAUACGGAGGGUGCAAGCGUUAAUCGGAAUUACUGGGCGUAAAGCGCGCGUAGGUGGCUUGAUAAGCCGGUUGUGAAAGCCCCGGGCUCAACCUGGGAACGGCAUCCGGAACUGUCAGGCUAGAGUGCAGGAGAGGAAGGUAGAAUUCCCGGUGUAGCGGUGAAAUGCGUAGAGAUCGGGAGGAAUACCAGUGGCGAAGGCGGCCUUCUGGACUGACACUGACACUGAGGUGCGAAAGCGUGGGUAGCAAACAGGAUUAGAUACCCUGGUAGUCCACGCCGUAAACGAUGUCGACCAGCCGUUGGGUGCCUAGCGCACUUUGUGGCGAAGUUAACGCGAUAAGUCGACCGCCUGGGGAGUACGGCCGCAAGGUUAAAACUCAAAUGAAUUGACGGGGGCCCGCACAAGCGGUGGAGCAUGUGGUUUAAUUCGAUGCAACGCGAAGAACCUUACCUACUCUUGACAUCCUGCGAACU